AGAGCAGACAACAACCGAAGGCCACCAAUGGGUCUUCAAUGUAGCGAGAAUUCCCGCACCCGUGGUUGUCCUUCAGCUGGCCCCUAAAAAUAUGUAUACUAGUACAGUGAUAAUGGACGUCAUACUAAACUCCGAAUUAUACAGAAGAAACUAAAAUAAAAAAUUAUACAAGACUAACAAAGGCAAGAGGCUCCUGACUUGGGACAGGCGCAAAAUUUCGGCGGGUUUA
Molecule: long non-coding RNA, 229 nt
Filed under: Mytilus galloprovincialis (Mediterranean mussel)
Lineage: Eukaryota; Metazoa; Mollusca; Bivalvia; Mytilida; Mytilidae
Source: RNAcentral